UAGUAACAUUGAUUUUGAUUGAGGAGAGACGAGAGUUUUGAUUAUAUAUCAAAGGGAAAAAAAUUUAAAAUUAACAUGGAGGUGCCAAAUUGUAUAGCAUUUUUGAGAAGAGUCUGUGCUUUGGUGUGUAUAGGCGCAUGAGCAUUAUGAUUGACUCGAGGAGUCAGAUUGCUUGUAGCAUUUGAGUGGUGUGAUUAUUUAUUCAAUUUGAUAGAAAUGCCAAACCAAGAUAAAUUUGGUAUAUGUAAGUUUUGGAUUGAGCAUCUUUAACU
Molecule: long non-coding RNA, 272 nt
Filed under: Elaeis guineensis (African oil palm)
Lineage: Eukaryota; Viridiplantae; Streptophyta; Magnoliopsida; Arecales; Arecaceae
Description: long non-coding RNA (EGUI_LNC066086)
Source: RNAcentral